This 253-nucleotide ribosomal RNA is filed under the name uncultured bacterium. RNAcentral's name for it is "partial 16S ribosomal RNA". It matches the Rfam family "Bacterial small subunit ribosomal RNA", at positions 524 to 776 of the family's 1533-position model. The record is from RNAcentral.
UACGUAGGUGGCAAGCGUUGUCCGGAUUUAUUGGGUUUAAAGGGUGCGUAGGCGGCUAAAUAAGUCAGUGGUGAAAUACUCGAGCUUAACUUGAGAACGGCCAAUGAUACUGUUUAGCUUGAGUACAAACGAAGUGGGCGGAAUUGAAAGUGUAGCGGUGAAAUGCAUAGAUAUUUUCAAGAACACCGAUAGCGAAGGCAGCUCACUAGGAUGUAACUGACGCUGAAGCACGAAAGUGUGGGGAUCAAACAGG